CCUAGUACAUUCAGCCUAGCAUCAUCAGUUAAAUGGAUCGCACCGUGGAACAGGAAAUAAGUCCAACUGAAUCACUAGUAGAUUCACCCUUAGCAUCCUGAGGAAAGCGGAUCACACCUUGGAAUGGGAGAUAAAUCAAGCUGAAUCCUUAGUACAUUCACCUUUAGCAUACUAGGGCAAUCAGAUCGCACCUUGGCUCGGGAAAUAAGACAAGCUGAAUUCCUAGUACAUUCACCCUAGCAUCGUGGGUUAAACUGAUCGCACCCCGGAACGGGAAAUAAGUCAAGUUGAAUCCCUAGUACAUUCACCCUUAGCAUCAAGGGGCAAGCGUAUCGCACCUUGCAACGAGUAAUAAUUGAGAUCCAGCCCUAGUACAUUCUCCCUUAGCAUGUUGAGGAAAAAGGAUCACAGUGUGGAAGGGAAAAUAAGUCAAGUUAAAUCCCUAGUACAUUCACUCUAGCAUCGUGGGUAAACGGAUCGCACACUGGAAUGGAAAAUAAGUGAAGCUAAAUCUCUAGUAGAUUCACUCGUAGCAUCCUAUGGCAAACAGAUCACACCUUGGAAUGGGAAAUAAGUCAAGUUGAAUCCCUUGUACAUUCUCCCUUAGCAUCCUGAGCCAAAUGAAUCGCACCGUGGAGGGGGAAAUAAGUCAAAUUGAAUCCCUAGUACAUUCACCCUAGCAUCGUGAGUUAAA
RNAcentral lists this long non-coding RNA (694 nucleotides) under Linum usitatissimum (flax). RNAcentral's name for it is "long non-coding RNA (LUSI_LNC007801)". The record is from RNAcentral. Lineage: Eukaryota; Viridiplantae; Streptophyta; Magnoliopsida; Malpighiales; Linaceae.